This 621-nucleotide ribosomal RNA is filed under the name Drosophila baimaii. Its description in RNAcentral is "partial 16S ribosomal RNA". It matches the Rfam family "Bacterial large subunit ribosomal RNA", at positions 1845 to 2746 of the family's 2925-position model. The record is from RNAcentral. Lineage: Eukaryota; Metazoa; Arthropoda; Insecta; Diptera; Drosophilidae.
AUAAAGUCUGACCUGCCCACUGAUAAUUUUUAAAUGGCCGCAGUAUUUUGACUGUGCAAAGGUAGCAUAAUCAUUAGUCUUUUAAUUGAAGGCUGGAAUGAAUGGUUGGACGAAAUAUUAACUGUUUCAUUUAAAAUUAAUAUAGAAUUUUAUUUUUUAGUCAAAAAGCUAAAAUAAAAUUAAAAGACGAGAAGACCCUAUAAAUCUUUAUAUUUUGUUUAUUUUAAUUAUAAAGAUUAGUUUAAUUUUAAUAAAUUAAAAUAUUUUAUUGGGGUGAUAUUAAAAUUUAAAAAACUUUUAAUUUUAAAAAACAUUAAUUUAUGAAUAAUUGAUCCAUUAAUAAUGAUUAAAAAAUUAAGUUACUUUAGGGAUAACAGCGUAAUUUUUUUGGAGAGUUCAUAUCGAUAAAAAAGAUUGCGACCUCGAUGUUGGAUUAAGAUAUAAUUUUGGGUGUAGCCGUUCAAAUUUUAAGUCUGUUCGACUUUUAAAUUCUUACAUGAUCUGAGUUCAAACCGGUGUAAGCCAGGUUGGUUUCUAUCUUUAAAAAAUUAUAAUAUUUUAGUACGAAAGGACCAAAUAUUAAAAUAAUUAUAUUUAAUAUAAUGAAUAUUAUUAAUAUUU